RNAcentral lists this ribosomal RNA (253 nucleotides) under uncultured bacterium. RNAcentral's name for it is "partial 16S ribosomal RNA". It matches the Rfam family "Bacterial small subunit ribosomal RNA", at positions 524 to 776 of the family's 1533-position model. The record is from RNAcentral.
UACGUAGGGUGCGAGCGUUAAUCGGAAUUACUGGGCGUAAAGCGUGCGCAGGCGGUUCGUCGUGUCCGAUGUGAAAGCCCCGGGCUCAACCUGGGAAUGGCAUUGGAAACUGGCGGACUCGAGUGUGGCAGAGGGGGGUGGAAUUCCGCGUGUAGCAGUGAAAUGCGUAGAGAUGCGGAGGAACACCGAUGGCGAAGGCAGCCCCCUGGGCUAACACUGACGCUCAGGCACGAAAGCUAGGGGAGCAAACAGG